UCCUCUCCACCAAGGGUGUUCCUCCCCACCAGGGGUGUUCCUCCCCACCAGGAGUGUUCCUCUCCAGUGGAUUUGGGAGGAGAUUAGAAGCAGCACCCGUGUGACACACAGCAUCCCUAUCGGGCCGGGGACAAAAGGAGGACCGGAUAUGUUGGAGGAAAUAUCCUCUCGGAUCAGACACAAAUGGUGACGUGAGGAACUGGAAAGACUAAGCUUUGAGGGUUAAAGUCUAAUCACUACCCGUCUAGACAUCUGUGUUGAAGGAGGAACAGGAGAAAGCCCCAGGGCUAGAAUAAACACAACUAAGGCUGAAGAAAACAUGAUCCUCUCGUGGAAUCUCAAGAAGGACAACCGUUGAAAAAACUGUAUUUAACUCUUAACAGCAGCUCAGUCUUCCUGCGGGAUCUGAACGCUGGAGACCCAUCAAGAGAACAUCCCAGACAGUACAGACAAUCGUGAAGCAGUGUCUGAUACCCAUAGUGAAGAUCAAACUAUCAGGUGAAAAGGAACAAACAGAGCAGGAGUCCGUGGAGAAAAGUUCAUUAACUGAUAAUGUUUGUUUUACCUAAUAUUUCUCAGCAGCUCAUAUUUUG
Molecule: long non-coding RNA, 593 nt
Organism: Clarias gariepinus (North African catfish)
Lineage: Eukaryota; Metazoa; Chordata; Actinopteri; Siluriformes; Clariidae
Exons: 3
Source: RefSeq, a predicted model, not a curated record